CAAGAUCCAUCACUAAGCCGUUUGGAAAUGACGUAACACACGCAAGAGCUGAUGAGAACUUCUCGUGAUAACUGUGAAGCGUGAUUGGUUGUGGUGUGUCAUGUGGCUUGACUGACCAAUUGAACGCAUGUUGCUCUGGAAAGAUCUAGAUGCAAGCUCAGCGCUUUUAGACGACGGGACGACCUAGGUAAUUAGCCAAGGCAUCAUCCCCAGUGUCGUGUGCAUUGAUGUAAUCCAGGCUUGACAGGCGCUCACCCGAAAAUCGCCAGGCAUUGUACAGGCAUGUUUCAACUUAGACUGCCAUCACGAGAGGAAAAUUAAUGGCAUACAUUUUUACCCUUCUUGCCUUCCUCCAUUACCGGUCGUCACCGCCAUUGGCGGGAGGCUACAGGCCAAGACGUGAAUGGAUUUCACCCUACAAGUGUUCUUAGUGUGAAUGGAGAGUGUUUUGACAUUGCCCAUUGCCCAUGCGGGGACUUGAAUAGCUCGCGUGUUGUGAUGAUCUAGUCGGCGUUGAAGCAAAUUUUGCUGGUCAGAAUAAAACAUCACAGACAUUGGAGACAUGUAAUAGGGUUAGGCCUGUCAUAACCCUGACGGGGACAGAAAGAUGCAGCGCAUCAUUCCAGCGAGAGAUGAAAUUUCCGGCCACGCCGAUGCUCUCCCUUUCCUGUUGCAGUUGCGUGACUAAGGGAGUUAUGUUCUGAGCCUAACCACACUACAGUGCUGCUGGAUUUGUUUACAGUGAGUAUUAAAACUUCCUGCAGUCAGAUCGCAGUGCACCCCACUGUACACAGUCACACGGGACAGACAAACCCAGAGUGUUACAUAUGGACUUGGGAUACAAAGGUCUUGUAUGUCUAAUGUGAAAGUAGGAGAUUGAGCCGACACUUUGUCAGCCAGGGUCUUCAACACGAUGACCCUCA
This is a long non-coding RNA of Pomacea canaliculata, 923 nucleotides long. RefSeq lists it as uncharacterized. NCBI's taxonomy places the organism in Eukaryota, Metazoa, Mollusca, Gastropoda, Architaenioglossa, Ampullariidae. The record is from RefSeq and is a predicted model, not a curated record. The transcript is spliced from 5 exons.